This 1858-nucleotide long non-coding RNA is filed under the name Nicotiana benthamiana. RNAcentral's name for it is "long non-coding RNA (NBEN_LNC034640)". Lineage: Eukaryota; Viridiplantae; Streptophyta; Magnoliopsida; Solanales; Solanaceae. The record is from RNAcentral.
UUUUUGCGCUUUGCGCUCUCCAAAACACUGGUAAGAGACAUAGAUUCACACUAAUGUCAGUGUAGUGGAUGGUUUAAGAAAAUCAAAGGAUUAGGGGAUUAAGAUGCGAGGAGACUGUCUUUGGGAAAAAGGAACAUAAAAGCUACAGCUUGCUACAAUUUAAAUAGCGGAAGCAGCGUAUCUGGUCUAGUUGCUGAGGAAAGUUCCAAUAUAUGAUCAAUUUUAGGGGCUGAAACAGAGACAGGGAAUAAGGAAAAACAAGAAUAAAGAGAAAACAAAGGCAUCAAAUAUGAGAACCGUUAGCAUCACACCAAGGACAAGACACGAUGCUUCUUAACAUAAACCUAAGAUCAUUCAAUUCAUUACAUAGUCUAACCAAGGGAAUUUAAUCCUUAAUAUAGAGAAGACAAUAGUCAGGACUCAGGACCAAAUCAAAAUGGCUCCUCAUUAAACUUGACAUGCAACGGCAGACAUAUCUCACUACUAUGACUCCAUCAGACCACCCCAGCAACCGCUCCCCACAAAAAAAAAAUUUGAUUUACAGAAAGUCUUGACAGAGACAAUUUGGUAUAUUAUGUGUCACUGGCCAGGAGUGAAAUAUGAUGCAUAAUAGGCUUACAUACCGAAAUAUUUGCACUGUCCAAGGCUUUACAGGGCUCAACAAAUGCUUUGACUUAUUUGCACUGUCCCAGUAUAAUCCCACUUAGUGGGGUCUGGGGAGGGUAGUAUGUACGCAGACCUUACCCCUUGGGAAGACUCGAACUCACAACCUCUAGGUGGGAAGUGGGGGUUGCUUACCAUCAGAGCAAUCCCUCUUGUCUUAAAACAAGAAGAUUAACUCACACAAAUUGUCCCUUUUUUUUAACUGGUUGUAGUGUCCGAACCAGCUUGCAUGUACCUCGACAAAGUGUCCCUAACAAAGUUCAAUUACUUUGCCUAUUUUGUUUAUACAGAUGAAGCAUGCAUCAAGCUGGCAAAUUCAAGCAACAAAGGAGAAGACACAAAGUAGUAGCCCUUAGUUACUGAAAUAGUUAGGUGAAACAAAGUUGUGGUUUUGUGCCCAAAACAAUACAGAUUAGGCCAAGAACAACAGAAAUUACAGUUGAAGUAGGAAGAUCAGAAAAGAAUCAAACAAAGAAUCAAUCUUUAUUAGUCAAAAGCAAAAUAAACAAGAAAAAAAAAGCAAAAUGGAAGAUUAAGCAAGAGCAAUAAGCAAGAAAGCACCUUCUCUUUCUUUCCUUUUCUGAAUUCCACCUUCCAUCCAGCAGGAAGCCAAUCAGGCAAAGACCUCUUCUUUUCCGUCUCACAAUCCCACCUAAAUUAACCACUUACCCAUCUAAUUUAAUUCAAUCUCCAAAUAAAACCCCCAACAACUAAAGAAAACAAAAUAAAGAUGCCUUCUUUUUUACUUGUCCUGAAAAGUCAAGAACUCUCCAACCCCUUUUGUAAAGUGUGAAUAUGGGUAGAGUGAAGGCUGCAGGACUCCACUAUGUGUCAUGUCGACUCUUUCUUUGACUCAACAGAGUAUAAAGUGAUGAGUAGAGGAAAUGGGGUCAUAAUGGGGGGAGAGUGGUGGGGUUGGGGUUGGGGUUAGGGGACGGAGAAUCGAACAAAUAGCAUUGCACAACCACGUGUUUGCCAAACUUGUUCGGUUUCAAAACUUGCAAUUCGAGGCAAACCAAACGUUCUUUAUGAUGAUUUUUUAAUCCUAUCUUUCUACUUCUUUUUUCUUCGUUUUGGUUUUAAUAGUCUGUUCUCUCCGCUCUUUUAUUUUUGACACCUCAAAUGUGCAAGUGGCAGUCGGACAAUGAAAAAAGGCCUCAGAAAGUUACUGGUAGGUGUAAUUUCCUUGUUCUUG